GUUCUGGCUUUUACAUGAUCCGCAUCGAGGAGCCUUUUACAGAAGUGGCUCCAGGAGCAUCCACAUCUGCCUCUCGGGGCCCACGGGGCCCAGGCCAGCUACAGAAGCACCCUGCUUUCCAUGGGAAAAUGCUGCAAAUGGGGGAGAAAGGAGAGAAGGGUUUCAGACUGCAAAGACCCUUCGACAUCAGCUAGCACCAAGUUCCAUCAUGUAAAUAAACUGAAGGGCUUCAGACCGGGAGUGAAGCCAAGCAGACCUCCCCACUGUCACUGUCCAGCCUGAAGCCGCCCUGGUGAAGCAGGUGGAGGAGCAGCUCCAGGCCCGGCUCCCCGGCCUCCCUCCCUCAGCUCCAGGGCACUCACGUGCUUGAAACAGCUGACGGGAGCAGCCUUGUAACUGUGAUCCUUCAGGAACUUCCCCCAGUCGAAGCCCAAGACCAGAGCUGCAGAGCAGAGAGGACGAGUCAGACUAGGAGCCUGCGCAGCAGCCACUCCAGGAGCCUGGACCCCAAGGGCCCUGUGGGACCUGCAGAGGUGAUCCCAACAUGCAGGCAAAUUUGGGAAGCAGUGUUGCAGAUGCUGGUCCCAGCUACUGGGAAACAAGGUAAGAUGAGGCCCCUGAGAUGAGGUUCCAGCCUCAAUUCCGCCAUUCUCCUCCUACAGAGCCACACUAGGUAUGUCAUUCUACCUCCUUGGACCUCAGUAUACUUAUCAAUAAAUGUGUGGGUUCAACACCACAUCCAAGAAUCUUUCCAUCUCUAAAGAUUCUAUAAAUAUCAGUAAUUUAGAAAAUUGGCAAGACUUUCUAGGUAGCUGCCUGUGACAUGGAGUCCGAGGAGGCAUGGUCUUCCUGAAGCCACCGUGGCUGGUGAACCUUGGGCCUGUUUCCCAACUUCCUUUGAAAGGAUUUAUAAAAGUGUGGGGUGAAGACCAAGGGUGUCAGACUCCCCCAUAGUUCUUGUUUAAAAUGUACUGAAUACACCAGACUCUGGGGGAUGAUGGUAGGUAAUGGAGCGUAGCUUCAGGAACCUAUAAUUUAAAAAGCUCCACAAAUGGAUUCUACUGUCCUCUGAAGUUUGAGAACAUAAUAAAUACCAGCUGGCCACAAGCAAGGACCUUUUCAAACUUUCCUGGCCCUGGCCUUCAGUCACUUGGUGGUUCCUGUCUCAGCACCAAAGGCACCGGGAAGGAUCCAAGUGAUUGCCUCUCACCUGUAACCUAGCCAAGAUACUGGCUUUCUUGGAGUUGGAGGAGUAGCUCCUGGAGCAGGAGACGCUGCAGAACCUCUUGGUCUUGGAGAAGAAGGCUUCCCUUGUACCCACGAUACCACACAUCUCACAGACAGCUGGGAAGAGAACUUAGCACAUGACUCACCCGAUAUGACCACCUCAAAGCAAACAAAGUGAUGGGCCCUUCAAAACCUGGGGCACUGCAUUAACCAGGGGACACUCUGAAGGCACCUGGCUCAGAACCACUGCCAUCCAAGGAGCGAGGAGUCCCAGGGCUGAGCAAAUGCAGCGGGGAGGUCGGCAGUUCCCCUGCUUCCCGAUCCUCAUUUUCUGCUUCACUUGACUCCUCCAGAUAGGAGCUGCUCUCACUGCCCACACUGCUGUUAUAACUCCGGAAACUAUCAUAGCCACCAAACAGCUCCAAGUCGUCAUCUUCCUCUUCCUCCAUUGGUUCUGAAGAUGGGGUCUCCUAAUGGAGGAUGACACAAACCAGGUAGAAAGAAUUAUGAUUGGCUUUAGUGCACGGGGGGAGAAGCUGCAGAUCUGCUAUCAGCCCCCUCACACUUUCGGGAACCUUUCAAAUACCCCUUUUACAAACACCAAGAUCAUUACUUCUAUUUACACAUUUCUCCACCAUGAUGCAAUUCAACAGCUUAACAAGACAGAAAAUAUGUGUUAGGAAUUCACCAGGCUCCUCUGUGGAUUUACAAAUGAUGAUAUUUUAACAUGGUUCAAAUAGAAUACUGUAUAACAAUGUGGGCCAGGUGCGGUGGCUCAUGCCUGUAAUCCUAGCACUUUGGGAGGCCGAGGCUGGCAGAUCACCUGAGGUCAGGAGUUCGAGACCAGCCUGGCCAAGAGGGUGAAACCCUGUCUCUACAAAAAAAUACAAGAAAAAAUUAGCCAGGCGUGGUGGCGGGCACCUGUAGUCCAGCUACUUGGGAGGCUGGGGCAGAGAAUUGCUUGAACCCAGGAGGCAAAGGUUGUAGUGGGCCAAGAUCGUGCCACUGCACUCCAGUCUGCGUGACAGAGCAAGACUCCAUCUCAAAAAAAAAAAAAAAGUGAAAUAUCCUAAGGUACUUCACAAAGACUUUCUGGGGUAGAAGAUAUAUUAGAAAUUAAUUCUUAGCCAGGCACAGUGGCCCACACCUGUAAUCCCAGCACUUUCCGAGGCCAAGGUGGGUGGAUCACGAAGUCAGGAGUUCAAGACCAACCUGGCCAAGAUGGUGAAACCCCGUCUCUACUAAAAAUACAAAAAUUGGCUGGGUGUGGUGGCGGGUGCCUGUAAUCCCAGGUACUUGGGAAGCUGAGGCAGAGAAUUGCUUGAACCCGGGAGGUGGAGGUUGCAGCGAGCUAAGAUCGCGCCACUGCACUCCAGCCUGGUAAUGGAGUGAGAUGCUGUCUCAAAAAGAAAAACAAAAAUUCUUCCCCGUUCAAUAUACAUCAAAAUGAUCUCAACUCAGAAACAAUUUAAGUCACAGAAAAGUUAAUUUGGGACCUAGACUGCUCCAAAGAGGAUGGGAGAGGCAGAUGACACACAGAUAACUGUGGCAUCUUGGUGUGUACUACAGCGCUAGAUUCAGCUCUGAGCCUAACUAGCUAUAGGGCCUUGGGCA
This is a long non-coding RNA of Homo sapiens (human), 2841 nucleotides long. Ensembl annotates it as L3MBTL2 antisense RNA 1. Its record names the gene L3MBTL2-AS1. The record is from Ensembl. Lineage: Eukaryota; Metazoa; Chordata; Mammalia; Primates; Hominidae.